Molecule: ribosomal RNA, 214 nt
Filed under: uncultured beta proteobacterium
Lineage: Bacteria; Pseudomonadati; Pseudomonadota; Betaproteobacteria
Description: partial 16S ribosomal RNA
Rfam family: Bacterial small subunit ribosomal RNA
Source: RNAcentral
UUACGCUAAUACCGCAUACGAUCUACGGAUGAAAGCGGGGGAUCGCAAGACCUCGCGCGAUUGGAGCGGCCGAUAUCAGAUUAGGUAGUUGGUGGGGUAAAGGCUCACCAAGCCAACGAUCUGUAGCUGGUCUGAGAGGACGACCAGCUACACUGGAACUGAGACACGGUCCAGACUCCUACGGGAGGCAGCAGUGGGGAAUUUUGGACAAUGG